AGCGAACGCUGGCGGCAGGCCUAACACAUGCAAGUCGAACGAACCUUUCGGGGUUAGUGGCGGACGGGUGAGUAACCCGUGGGAACGUGCCUUUAUGUUCGGAAUAACUCAGGGAAACUUGUGCUAAUACCGAAUGUGCCCUUCUGGGGAAAGAUUUAUCUCCUUUAGAGCGGCCCGCUUCUGAUUAGCUAGUUGGUUGAGGUAAUGGCCCAGCAAGGCGACGAUCAGUAGCUGGUCUGAGAGGAUGAGCAGCCACAUUGGGACUGAGACACGGCCCAAACUCCUACGGAAGGCAGCAGUGGGGAAUCUUGCGCGAGGGGCGAAGACCUGACGCAGCCAUGCCGGGUGAAUGAUGAAGGUCUUAGGAUUGUAAAAUUCUUUCACCGGGGACGAUAAUGGCGGUACCCGGAGAAGAAGCCCCGGCUAACUACGUG
This 434-nucleotide ribosomal RNA is filed under the name uncultured bacterium. Its description in RNAcentral is "partial 16S ribosomal RNA". It matches the Rfam family "Bacterial small subunit ribosomal RNA", at positions 29 to 507 of the family's 1533-position model. The record is from RNAcentral.